This 465-nucleotide ribosomal RNA is filed under the name uncultured bacterium. RNAcentral's name for it is "partial 16S ribosomal RNA". It matches the Rfam family "Bacterial small subunit ribosomal RNA", at positions 338 to 795 of the family's 1533-position model. The record is from RNAcentral.
CCUACGGGAGGCAGCAGUAGGGAAUCUUCCACAAUGGGCGAAAGCCUGAUGGAGCAACGCCGCGUGGGUGAAGAAGGUCUUCGGAUCGUAAAACUCUGUUGUUAGAGAAGAAAGUGCGUGAGAGUAACUGUUCACGUUUCGACGGUAUCUAACCAGAAAGCCACGGCUAACUACGUGCCAGCAGCCGCGGUAAUACGUAGGUGGCAAGCGUUAUCCGGAUUUAUUGGGCGUAAAGGGAACGCAGGCGGUCUUUUAAGUCUGAUGUGAAAGCCUUCGGCUUAACCGGAGUAGUGCAUUGGAAACUGGGAGACUUGAGUGCAGAAGAGGAGAGUGGAACUCCAGGUGUAGCGGUGAAAUGCGUAGAUAUAUGGAAGAACACCAGUGGCGAAGGCGGCUCUCUGGUCUGUAACUGACGCUGAGGUUCGAAAGCGUGGGUAGCAAACAGGAUUAGAUACCCCUGUAGUC